AGUAAAAGUCGUAACAAGGUUUCCGUAGGUGAACCUGCGGAAGGAUCAUUAUCGAAUUUGAAAGGGGUUGUAGCUGGCCUUUCACGAGGCAUGUGCACACCCUGCUCAUCCACUUACACCUGUGCACAUUUGUAGGUUAGAUGCGGACUGGGGACUCUGUGUUCUCGGUGCAAGUCUGCCUAUGUCUUUACAUACUCUGUUCAGUCAAUGAAUGUAAUCUGCGAUAAACGCAUUUUAAUACAACUUUCAGCAACGGAUCUCUUGGCUCUCGCAUCGAUGAAGAACGCAGCGAAAUGCGAUAAGUAAUGUGAAUUGCAGAACUCAGUGAAUCAUCGAAUCUUUGAACGCACCUUGCGCCCCUUGGUAUUCCGAGGGGCACACCCGUUUGAGUGUCGUGAAAUUCUCAACUCAAAUACUUUUGCGAGUGUUUGGGCUUGGACUUGGGGGUCUGCCGGCCUGUCCCGGCUCCCCUUGAAUGCAUUAGCUCGGACCCUUGCGGAUCAGCUAUCGGUGUGAUAAUUGUCUACGCCGUGGUUUGUGAUGCCACCUUUCAGGUGUUGAGGGAUCGGCUUCUAAUCCUCCCCCCCGGGACAAUUAACUUUGAAAUCUGACCUCAAAUCGGGUGGGACUACCCGCUGAACUUAAGCAUAUCAAUAAGCGGAGGA
Molecule: ribosomal RNA, 665 nt
Filed under: uncultured fungus
Lineage: Eukaryota; Fungi
Description: eukaryotic LSU rRNA
Rfam family: 5.8S ribosomal RNA (bases 242-395)
Source: RNAcentral